This is a non-coding RNA of Gorilla gorilla gorilla (western lowland gorilla), 148 nucleotides long. It matches the Rfam family "Metazoan signal recognition particle RNA". Rfam says of the family: The signal recognition particle (SRP) is a universally conserved ribonucleoprotein. It is involved in the co-translational targeting of proteins to membranes. The record is from Rfam. Lineage: Eukaryota; Metazoa; Chordata; Mammalia; Primates; Hominidae.
GCUGGGUGUGGUGGCACGCGCCUGUAAUCCCAGCUACUCAGGAGGCUGAGGCAGGAGAAUCGCUUGAACCCAGGAGGUGGAGGUUGCAGUGAGCAGAGAUCGAGCCACUGCACUCCAUCCUGGGUGACAGAGCCAGACCCCGUCUCAA